RNAcentral lists this long non-coding RNA (395 nucleotides) under Medicago truncatula (barrel medic). RNAcentral describes it as "lncRNA gene26308". Lineage: Eukaryota; Viridiplantae; Streptophyta; Magnoliopsida; Fabales; Fabaceae. The record is from RNAcentral.
GAUUCAAUUGGUUCCACCACGAUAACAAAUAAAUAAAGUAAAAACAAAAAAACAAGAUAUAGUUAAACCAACUGUAAUUCAAUCGGUCGGUUAGUCUCUUGUUCAUUCCAAUGAAUUAGAAUGAAAUCAACAUGCGAACUGACCUGUCUUGGUUCAAUCGCUUGAAUCGACUAAUGCAACUAGUUUUUUUUUUUUGAGAUGGAAUUGGAACAAUACAAGAAGAAGAAGAACCACAACAUUUACACUGUGUUUGUUUGAGGUGAAAAAGGGGAGAGAGGAGUUGGAGAGAAAGAAGUUGGAGAGAGAUGUCAAACUUCUUCUGUUUGGUUUGGAAAGAAAUUUGGGAGAGAGACUGCUUUAAUAUGGGGCCCACCGCCUUUUUGUUUCUGUGCUAA